Zophobas morio is the source of this 302-nucleotide long non-coding RNA. RefSeq lists it as uncharacterized. The transcript is spliced from 5 exons. The record is from RefSeq and is a predicted model, not a curated record. NCBI's taxonomy places the organism in Eukaryota, Metazoa, Arthropoda, Insecta, Coleoptera, Tenebrionidae.
GUGGAGAACUCCUAGAAAAUUCUCAAGUUCAUAUAGCUUUGGUGGAAUCUUUAGAACUUGAUGAAAAGCUCAAAACAUUUCAAACUGUUGGAUUUUGCCACGUUUAUAGCGUUCAGCCCUUAAAAUUUUCAGAAGACAUCUCUUUUGCCUUCAAAAUAAACAACGAGAAUCUUUUAAGGGUAUCUCCAGUGUCAUGCGACUUUCUUCCGGCCUUUAAGAAAAAUGAAACUUUGAAAAGUACUGAAGCGAGGACUCCUAGUGAGCUAUUUGAAAAAAAGGAAAAAUUAUUAGAUUUUUAUAUU